AGGGAGGGGGUUAAGGCGAACAAGCUUCUCCUUUCCUCCAUCUCUCCCCCUCGUGUCCGCCGCCUGCGCUCCCUCAUCCGCGCCCCCGGACCCCGCCCCGAGCCUCAACAGGGAGGCUGGUCGAUCCCCUCUGCUCCCCGCGCCGCACUUUCCUCCUACCUUGGGCGCGUCGCCUCUGUUGCCGCUGCCCCGUGCCCCUGCCCCCGUCGCGACUGUGGAGAGGGGGAAGAGGGAGAGUGUGAAGGGAGGUCCUCUCCCCUCCUCACCUUGGCGAAGGAGGUGCCGGCAAGAGGCAAGGCAGGGGCGGCGUCGAGCAGCAGCUGGCGGCGAUUGAAGGAGGAAUUUAAGGGAGGGAGUCCCUUGACAGUGCGGCCGGUACCCGGGACUGGCGGGGGCGAGCUCCCCAGGUUGGCAGGGGUGAUGUCCCGAGCAGUGCGACUUGGACUUACGGCCAGCGGGGGCGAGGUCCCCGAACGGAGCGGCUAGGGCCCGACGCCGGCGGGGGUAAGGUCUCGGGUGGCCACGAGAUCUGCCCGCCGGCGAGAUCUGCCCAUCGGCGGUGGGCGCGCGGUGCACGGGCCGUGACCGCGACGCGCGAGUGGGGGUCAGCGCUCUCAGUCAGCUGGCCGGGCACCAGAAAGCGGGCGCGCAGCCAUGCGCGUGAGCACACGCGACACCUGCACGCGUCAGUGACCGCGGCGGGCUGGGGCCCUGGGGGCAUCGCUGCCUGGUGCAGCUGUGACUGAGAGCGGUCGGGGCGCGUGAGGGGAGCCAUCCCUGCCCGCGUGGUCGGCCGCUGGCCACGGCCUGCUAUGUGUAUUUGUAGUUGGCACCUUGUCACAGUAACUAUAGAUGCCGACCCAGGUGAAGCGACUUCUUUCAUUGAUGGAGUUUAUGAUGGAUAUCAAAAUGGGCUGCCAUUGCCAACAAUUAACGGUAUUUGGGAACCUGGGACCGAUAUUUGGGUUGGUGCUCGGCCACCCAUAGACUUAGAUGCCUUUGGUAGGUCAGAUAGUGAAGGUUCAGACUCAAAGAUGCAGAUCAUGGAUGCUUUUCUAUGGGGAAGAUGCCUCAGUGAAGAUGAGGUUGUUGCAUUGCAUACAACCAUUUCACCUGCCGAGCAUGGCUUUUUUGACCUUGGAGCUGGUGAUGCUUGGCAUGGAAGCUAUUCUGCAAGGGUGGAUGAUUGGGAAAGUGAAGAGGCUUAUGAGCUAUAUGAUCAAGGGGAUGUCGAAUGGGAUGGGCAGUACUCAAAUGGUAGGAAACGCCCGGUACAUGAUGCUGUAGCUAUUGACAUUGACUCCUUUGCUAGGAGACCCAAGAAAACCAAGGUUUGAGACACUAGACGAAGUCAACCAGCGUAUGAUGUCUGUUGAAAGGGCUGUCAGGGAUGCUCUUGUUGCUAAAGGAGAGAGAAACUUUACUGAUCAAGAGUUCCCUCCAGAUGAUCGUUCUUUAUUUGCAGAUCCAACGGAUCCACCUCUGAAAUUGCAUGUAUUCCAUGUGCACAGCUCUUGCACUUGUGUGGAAAAAUAUUGGUUGAGUUACUGACACAUUAAUUUAUGGGUAUGGGUUGUUUCUAAGUGGAUGAGGCCUUCGGACAUAGCAAAGGAGAUAUCUAUCAAUUCUCAGCCAUGCUUGUUUUCUGGUUCUGUGAAUUCCUCACAUGUGUGUCAGGGUCGGUUGGGAGACUGUUGGUUCCUAAGUGCAGUCGCAGUUUUAACUGAGGCGUCCGGUAUAUCAGAAGUUAUAAUAAUCCCUGAGUACAAUGAAGAAGGGAUUUACACUGUCAGAUUCUGCAUUCAGGUAUCUAAUAUCCAAUGAUUUAAACCAUUUGACUGAUAAAUAUUUGUUCACUUGGGUUGUUCGUUUCCAUUACAUAUUAGCCUUGCAUCAUUUGGUUGCUAUGGUAUCCAGGAAGGUUCAGUUGAUUCAUUCUGCAAAGUUUAUAAUAUAGUUAUCACAAAAAUGUUAGACCACAGAAUCAUGACGGCAUUGGUAACACAUACUUUACUAUAUUGGAAAAAAUUAAUUAUUUUAUCAGAAGUAGUUCACCAGUCUGCAAUAUUUAGUGGAGAUAUGCCGGGGUCAUAUCUUGAAUGCGCACUGCUUUAUGGAGAUGAAAUAGUAGCUUAGUUAUACACUUACACUUGACCCCUCCAUUGUCAGUAUGUUACUAAUUGACUCCCCCACAUAUUUUAUGGCCCUUCUCUGGCUCCCAAUAGUGCCGUGAGCCAGAAAAAAAAUAUAAAUCUACAGGAUGGCUACGAGCUUAGAAAGCGAAUUUUGGGACAACUACUAACAUACAAAGACAAUGAAUGUAAAUACAAUAUACCCUCCGGUGUCCUGGACUUCAUAAGUUGUAUCUGCAAUACUCAAGAGUGAAAAGAAAGAGGGUGAUGUCAAUAUGAGUGUAUCAAAAGAAGCUUAAAACAUUCAAAUGAUGAAGAUAAAUUGUAUCAAAUCAUAGUCCCUAUUAUACUUAUGUGAUUAGUACAAUUUAUUUGAGUUGCCUCUUGUACCAUGUCUUGAUCCAAGUGUGCGAGCAUGUGUGUCACUGCACGCCAAUGGCAUGUUGUCAUUGUGAUUUGUCAGAUAUAAUCCAUUUCAUGUGUAGAGUCCAUCAUGAAAUGUGGCCUGAUGGAGAAACAUUUUUUAUGGUUCUUUUAUGAAUAGUUAUGUUAAUUUCA
This is a long non-coding RNA of Setaria italica (foxtail millet), 2690 nucleotides long. RefSeq lists it as uncharacterized. The record is from RefSeq and is a predicted model, not a curated record. Lineage: Eukaryota; Viridiplantae; Streptophyta; Magnoliopsida; Poales; Poaceae. The transcript has 3 exons.